AGAGUUUGAUCCUGGCUCAGAACGAACGUUGGCGGCGUGGAUUAGGCAUGCAAGUCGAACGAAUCCCGGGUAGCAACAUCCGGGGGAAGUGGCGAAAGGGGCAGUAAGGCGUGGGUAACCUACCCUGGGGACUGGGAUAGCCUUCCUAACGGAUGGGUAAUACCAGGCGAUCUGACGAGGGCGCCUGCUCUUGUCAGGAAACGAAUUUCGCCUCGGGAGGGGCUCACGUGCUAUUAGCUUGUUGGCGGGGUAACGGCCCACCAAGGCAAAGAUGGCUAGCGGGUAUGAGAGUACGACCCGCGCCACUGGCACUGAGACACUGGCCAGACACCUACGGGUGGCUGCAGUCGAGGAUCUUCGGCAAUGGGCGCAAGCCUGACCGAGCGACGCCGCGUGUGCGAUGAAGGCCUUCGGGUUGUAAAGCACUGUCGAGGGGGAGGAAAGCCGCAAGGUCUGACCUAUCCCUGGAGGAAGGACGGGCUAAGUUCGUGCCAGCAGCCGCGGUA
RNAcentral lists this ribosomal RNA (506 nucleotides) under uncultured Planctomycetota bacterium. RNAcentral's name for it is "bacterial SSU rRNA". It matches the Rfam family "Bacterial small subunit ribosomal RNA", at positions 8 to 522 of the family's 1533-position model. Lineage: Bacteria; Pseudomonadati; Planctomycetota. The record is from RNAcentral.